GUUGACCUCGGAUCAGGUAGGAAUACCCGCUGAACUUAAGCAUAUCAAUAAGCGGAGGAAAAGAAACCAACAGGGAUUGCCCCAGUAACGGCGAGUGAAGCGGCAACAGCUCAAAUUUGAAAUCUGGCCCCAGGCCCGAGUUGUAAUUUGCAGAGGAUGCUUUUGGCGCGGUGCCUUCCGAGUUCCCUGGAACGGGACGCCAUAGAGGGUGAGAGCCCCGUACGGUUGGACACCAAGUCUUUGUAAAGCUCCUUCGACGAGUCGAGUAGUUUGGGAAUGCUGCUCAAAAUGGGAGGUAUAUUUCUUCUAAAGCUAAAUAUUGGCCAGAGACCGAUAGCGCACAAGUAGAGUGAUCGAAAGAUGAAAAGCACUUUGAAAAGAGGGUUAAACAGCACGUGAAAUUGUUAAAAGGGAAGCGCUUAUGACCAGACUUGCGCCCGGUGAAUCACCCAGCUCUCGCGGCUGGGGCACUUUGCCGGCUCAGGCCAGCAUCAGCUCGCUGUCGGGGACAAAAGCUUCGGGAACGUAGCUCUCUUCGGGGAGUGUUAUAGCCCGUUGCACAAUACCCUUCGGCGGGCUGAGGUACGCGCUCCGCAAGGAUGCUGGCGUAAUGGUCAUCAGCGACCCGUCUUGAAACACGGACCAAGGAGUCAACCUUAUGUGCGAGUGUUUGGGUGUCAAACCCCUACGCGUAAUGAAAGUGAACGCAGGUGAGAGCUUCGGCGCAUCAUCGACCGAUCCUGAUGUUCUCGGAUGGAUUUGAGUAAGAGCAUAUAGGGUUGGACCCGAAAGAAGGUGAACUAUGCGUGUAUAGGGUGAAGCCAGAGGAAACUCUGGUGGAGGCUCGCAGCGGUUCUGACGUGCAAAUCGAUCGUCAAAUAUGCGCAUGGGGGCGAAAGACUAAUCGAAC
RNAcentral lists this ribosomal RNA (910 nucleotides) under Colletotrichum boninense. Its description in RNAcentral is "eukaryotic LSU rRNA". It matches the Rfam family "Eukaryotic large subunit ribosomal RNA", at positions 1 to 940 of the family's 3401-position model. The record is from RNAcentral. Lineage: Eukaryota; Fungi; Ascomycota; Sordariomycetes; Glomerellales; Glomerellaceae.